UACAGAGGGUGCGAGCGUUGUUCGGAAUUACUGGGCGUAAAGCGCGCGCAGGCGGCCUUUUAAGUCUCGUGGUGAAAUGCCGGGGCUCAACCCCGUGCCCGCCGGAGAUACUGGGAGGCUGGAGACGAGUAGAGGCAAGCGGAAUUCCGGGUGUAGCGGUGGAAUGCGUAGAGAUCCGGAAGAACACCGGAGGCGAAGGCGGCUUGCUGGGCUCUGUCUGACGCUGAGGCGCGAAAGCGUGGGUAGCAAACAGG
This 254-nucleotide ribosomal RNA is filed under the name uncultured bacterium. Its description in RNAcentral is "partial 16S ribosomal RNA". It matches the Rfam family "Bacterial small subunit ribosomal RNA", at positions 524 to 776 of the family's 1533-position model. The record is from RNAcentral.